AAAAAAAACACACACAUACACACACACAUCUAAAAAUGUCACAAAAAUAAAGUAAGUGCAAAAACAUUUUACAGGUCAUCCAGGCGAUUUUCAAGGAAUUCCAUCUACAGACAGAAAACUUUCACCCAUGCAUUAUUAAAUAAACUGACCGGCUUACAGAAGCAUCUUCCAGAUAUUUGCAUGAAGACUGCAAGCAGUAGGCUACAAUGCCCCUGGCUACAAUGCCCCUUUGCUUAUUUUUCUAAAUUAUGGAAUUGUACAAGUACAGUCUCUCUCUCUCUCAAAUUACUGUCAAGUUGGUCCAUGUCCUGAACAUCCCUUUGGCUUGAUUUUGGUUUUAUCUUAUAGUCGGUAUUGGUCAGUUUGGUUCAGAAAAAUCAUAACUGUUGCAUCACAACUGCAAGCUGAGGACAAUGUUUCUUUGAUUGAGGCUUCUCCUCAAUUAUUCUUCCUUUACUAAAAGCACGCUUUAUUGGGAGGGGAGAUGAACUUGCCACCAUCAUCCGCAAUGAAUAUAUAAUUAAAACAAAUUGAGGGACACAUCUUUUGAACUUAACUUUAAACACUAAUGAAAGAAUCACCUGUUCUUAUUGUAAUUAUACAUCGUCAGCCUAAUUCAAACUUACCAUUUUUUAAACUGUCAACUACAAUAGGAUUCUUCUCUUGGGUGAUUAUAAUAUCCGUAUCAAUAUUAAAUCCAAUUCUAAACGUUCUAAUUUUCUGAGGUUACUGGAUUCCUUAGAUUUUGUCCAGCAUCUUCAAGGUCCAACUCAUAAUCAUGACCAUACUUUAGAUUUAGUAAUCCCCAUGGCCUAGUUGUUAAAAAUAUUAUAACUACUAACCUUACUAUUUCUGAUAAUCUUGCAAUUCUUUUUGAGGUUAAAUUACCUUACGAUACAAACAGCCAAGAACAUAUAAAAAUCAAACCUAGGGUAGUUAAUUGAUCAACUGCUGUAAAGUUCUGUGAGGCAUUAAAUGUAUCGCUAGUUACUCCAUCUAACAUCAGAGGAGUUGGUCAACACCUACAACACUUCAGUGACUAACACUUUUACUGCAGCACCAGUUAAAACACGGAGAGUGUUUUCCAAAAGAAGCACACCAUGGUUUAAUGGACACGACUAGUAAGCUGAAAUGUGAGGGUUACAAAUUGGAACACAGAUGGAAUCAAAUUGCAUGUUCAUUACUUUGCAUGGAAAAGCCAUCAAGCUAAAUAAAGGAAGGCUCUCAUCAGAUUUUACAGACUCCUUUGAUUAUAGAGCAUUCUUUCUUACCUGAACCUACUAGACCUGAUAAAGCUACGUUGGAGGCUUUUUUCUCAGAUUACCUUAUAGCAUUAUUUCUGUAUAUGAGACCUACUACUUGUGCCUUUGAUCCAAUCCCUACCAAAUUAUUAAAAUAAGUUUUCUGUCUUAAUACAAGUAUUUUAGCUAUUGUAAAUUAAUCAUUUCCCUGGUAUAGUUCCAUCUGCCUUUAAGGUUGCGGUGAUAAAGACCCAGCCUCGACCCUAAAGCCCUUAGCAACUAUAGUCCAAUAUUUAAUCUGCCAUUUUUAUCAAAGGUUCCACAGAGUUGUUGCUAAUCAAUCACACAAGUGUGAAAUACUGUAUUUGAGAAAUUUCAAUCUUGAUUUCAUGCUGCACAUAGCACCGAGACGGCCCUUGUUAGGGUAGUAAAUUUUUUCUUUUGAUAAGCUCCGACUCUGGCUUUCCUUCAGUUUUAAUGGUUAGUGCUGCUUUUGAUACAGGACCUUUCCAUUCUAUUGAAUCGUCCUGAAAUAAUAGUGGUUUUGUCAGGAGCUGUCCUAUCUUGCUAUAGGUCUUAUCUUUCUAAUAGGUUCCAGUUUGUCUCUAUCUGGGAGAUGAAGACAGAUUUGUCAGAAGUUGCCUGUGGUGUUAUGCAGGGUUCUAUCUUGGGUCCUUUGUUGUUUCCACUCUAUAUAUAUAUAUAUAUGCAGCCACUAGGUGACAUUAUCCGCAGGCAUGGAGUGAAUUUCCAUUGUUACGCAGAUGACACUCAAGUAUACUUGUCUUCGGAUUCAGGCAAUCCUUCUACUCGGGUGCUAUUAGCUGCUUGCCUUGCUGGCAUCAAGCGUUGGAUGUCACAAAGUGAACAUACUACCCCUGUUCUGACCUCUUUGCACUGGCUCACUGUGGAGUAUAGAAUUGAUUAACAUUUUGUUGUUCACUUAUAAAGCUCUGAAUGGAUCAGCACCAUGUUUAUGACCAUGUGCAAAUUCUGUGCUUUCCGAUGGGUAUUUUUUCACUUAUGGGACAAUCCACUGUUUUCACUUCUCACAACUGCAAGGGCUCUGGAAUGAAGAUCAACCCGGUGUCCAGUUUAUUAUCACUCAGCUGGUGGCCGUCAUACUGCUUCCUUAAACUAGCUCUUUAUAUUACCUUAAAUCCUAAAACUGUCAAACUGAAAUGGCCCAUCUCCACUUGUAAAUUCAAACAAACUUACAUAUUUAUCAAACCAAAUAAAAAUAUUAUUCCUUUUUUUUUUUUUUUUUUUAAUUACACCAAAACACAGCUUAAUUUUCCACUGACCAAAAUGCAGCACAGAACACACUCAAUGAUCUAGUUGUUCAAAUUCAGUUCCUACUACAACUGCAUUACCUGAAAUGCCUUGGUUUAAUUUAAACAAAAAAUCUAAUAUUCAAUUAAGAAAAAAAAUUAAAAUGACCAAAUCCAGAAACGAUCAAGCCAAAUGGCUUCCUCUCAUUUCUGACUAUUUUCAGGUUUUAAUUAUAAUCUUUAUCUAUUUUUCCGCAGGGUCUAACACAAAUAAAACUGCUAUUGCAGUAAAACUGGACUAUCAAAUUUCUAGGUGGAGACAAGUAGCUAUUUCAAUAGAUUCCUAGAGAUAAAUCAAGUGGAUAAGUCAUCAAUAUCAAACUAAUGGCAAGACCUAUCUUCAAGAGGUUUUAGAUUAUAGUUUAAUAUGACUAGGGCUUCUGUUCUUACUAAUUUCAUUUUUCUGUGUUAUUUUUAGCAAUUUGAGUUUUCUGUAAAUGCUUUUUUUUUUUGGGGGGGGGGGGGACUUUCUCUUUUUAUACAAUGUAUACAGGGCUAGACACUAACGGUUGCCCAGGGCAACCAAAAUUCAGCAUCAGAUCAGAACAUGUCUAAAUAUAAAAACAGAACUUAAAACUGACUUCUACUGUUACUCUCUCGCUCCCCACGUGCACAACCUGAUAAUCUGAUUCGAUGUGCAUGACGUUGAAAGAAACACUGUUCGGUUCGCCCCAGUAUAAUCAUGUAUGGUAAAAAAAGAAAAAAAAAAAUUGUCAGAAGAGGCUUUUAAUUGGGAUUCACCCCUUCCAAAAAAACUAAGGAUCAACAAGAUGACUGCAUCCCCUCGACAUCAGUCUCUGCUGUGCCACAGGCUGCCGGUAAAGGGGAUGCGGCGAUUUCGUAUGAGGAGAAACGGCAACUUAAAUUCCAGGUUAAGUGGAAAGAGGAGUUUUCGUGGCUUGGGUACAAUGAGGAUGAUAACAAACUAUUCUGCAACAUGUGUCAAAGCUAUCCUACAUUAGCAGAGACUGGAGGUGCUUUCUUGAUCAAAACCGAAAAUAUUACAAAACAAAAUAUCCAAAAACGCCAUGCCUCCAAGCAUCAUCGUGAGUGUGCAAGAGCAAAGGAAAUUUAAUUGAGCGUCUAAAGUGCUAAGGACGAAACAAUCCCUGACCAUCUUAUAAAAAUGGACAAGAAGCUAUUGGCUCGAGUUUUUUACUACAGCAUACUUCAUGGCAAAAUCAGAACUCCCAUUCACAAAAUAUUCUGAGAUUGUUAAAUUUGCAAGUGAACAACAGACCUGAUGUGAUAUCUACUUAUAUCAAUGACAACACAUGCCGCAGGUACGUUUCUUACUUUAAUUAUUUGAAAAUUAGCUAGCUAUGUUUGUGGAAAAGCUAUCUUUUAAACUAGCUAAUUAAUCCAUGUAUUUGUUAACACACCAAAGUUCAUAGAAUUCAUCUACCAAGAUCUGAUCAAGGCAGAGUUGACAGCUAUCAAUCAGGCCAAGUAUGAGAGCAUUCUUGUUGAGUUGUCAGACGUAAGCAACAAGAAUUUGGAGACUGUGUUCAUACAGUACCUACCAACCUCUUCUUUGGAGUAGAGGAGCUUGAGACAGUUGAUGCCACAGGCCACCGUGGUGUAGUCGAGAAGAUUCUCUCCCGUGUUGGACUUGCAAGCUGGAGAGAAAGAAUUAUGGGGUUUGGCGCUGACGGUGCUGCAGAGCAUGAACAAAGGUCAAGCAGCAGUUCUGAAGCAGGACAUUCCAUGGGUGAUACCUGUUCACUGGCACACUGCCUGGUGCUAACAGCCACAUAUGUCAGAGAGGAGAAACAGGUCAAGGAUGCAACUGUAAUUGUAACUGGCACACAUUCAGCAUGCACUGCAAACAUUGGCGCAAACAUUGGUGCAUAAUGUUGCAGCAAUUGGUGGUUCACCCCGAGAAUGUUGAGAAGCAAAAGAGAGGGAGCACUGACAUCCAAGACAAGGCAAUGCAUGUCUUGAAGUUUCUGAAAGACUUCUCAAAGAUGAAGUUCAUCUUUAUGCUGGAUGUCCUGGAAUGCUUGUGCAGAUUUAGCCUGAAACUUCAGGAGGAUUCGCUGCUGCUAGAUGAGGCCAUUCAUGCCAUGGACACCACUCUCAUGACCCUACAGGACAUGAACUCUCACAAUGGGCCAAAGCUUCAAGAGUUUUUGCAAGAAGUUACAGGUCCAGAGUUAUUAAGGCACUGACCAGCCACCUGGAGGAGAGAUUUCAAUCCCUGAAGAGCAAGGAGGUGCUCUCAGCAGCUGCUGUCCUGGACCCCAUGAAGUGGCCCUCAGACCGAGACGAGCUGGUAUCGCCUGGCAAUAAAGCUGUUGCCUACCUAUGUGACCACUUCAAACAAGUGCUCUCAUCCAAUGGCUGCAGUAUGGAGGAGGUUGUGUUUGAAUGGAUGACAGCAAAAGUGCACAUUAUUGACACACCCAGAUCCCAGUGGUGCUAUGUGGGGAAGGACAUGUUUGCUGACCCUAUUCUGCAGAAUCGAUUUUCCAACCUGCGCCACCUAACAGAACUUUCACUGGUGAUCCCUCUCUCUACAGCAGCAAGUGAGAGAGGGUCCAGUUGUAUAAAGCGAGUGAAAAGUGACUGGAGGUCUUCACUUUCAGUCGACAUGCUUUUAAAAUGAACGUUCACAUUCAUGAAUGAACCAAGCCAGAAUAAAUAUGACGCUGCAGGUGCAGUUAACAGAUGGUUGAGAGCAGAGGAAAUGGCUCGUCGGCCAGACUAUAUGAAUGCCUGAACUGAUGCAACAUAAGAACAUAAGAAAGUUUACAAACGAGAGGAGGCCAUUCGGCCCAUCUUGCUCAUUUGGUUGUUAGUAGC
Molecule: long non-coding RNA, 5377 nt
Organism: Polyodon spathula (Mississippi paddlefish)
Lineage: Eukaryota; Metazoa; Chordata; Actinopteri; Acipenseriformes; Polyodontidae
Exons: 4
Source: RefSeq, a predicted model, not a curated record